GGAAUCUUGGACAAUGGGCGCAAGCCUGAUCCAGCCAUGCCGCGUGAGUGACGAAGGCCUUAGGGUCGUAAAGCUCUUUCGCUGGAGAAGAUAAUGACGGUAACCGGAGAAGAAGCCCCGGCUCACUUCGUGCCAGCAGCCGCGGUAAUACGAAGGGGGCUAGCGUUGUUCGGAAUUACUGGGCGUAAAGCGCACGUAGGCGGAUUGGUCAGUUAGGGGUGAAAUCCCGGAGCUCAACUCCGGAACUGCCUUUAAUACUGCCAAUCUAGAGACCGAGAGAGGUAAGUGGAACUCCUAGUGUAGAGGUGGAAUUCGUAGAUAUUAGGAAGAACACCAGUGGCGAAGGCGGCUUACUGGCUCGGAACUGACGCUGAGGUGCGAAAGCGUGGGGAGCAAA
RNAcentral lists this ribosomal RNA (397 nucleotides) under uncultured bacterium. RNAcentral's name for it is "bacterial SSU rRNA". It matches the Rfam family "Bacterial small subunit ribosomal RNA", at positions 358 to 772 of the family's 1533-position model. The record is from RNAcentral.